This 289-nucleotide small nuclear RNA is filed under the name Octodon degus (degu). Its description in RNAcentral is "7SK RNA (ENSODEG00000025751.1)". It matches the Rfam family "7SK RNA". Rfam says of the family: 7SK was discovered as an abundant small nuclear RNA in the mid-70s but a possible function has only recently been suggested. Two independent studies have found that 7SK RNA binds the CDK9/cyclin T complex (known as elongation factor P-TEFb). P-TEFb activates transcription by phosphorylating the C-terminal domain of RNA polymerase II. The record is from RNAcentral. Lineage: Eukaryota; Metazoa; Chordata; Mammalia; Rodentia; Octodontidae.
AGGUAGUCUGCCUGUGACAUCUGUCAUCUCAUUCGUCACUACAUUUACUUGCUCUGGUCUGUGUGACCAGGCGGGUGGCCCCUCCUCUCAUAGUUCCUGGUACAUCUUUCCCAAGAUCUCACUCAGCAGAAGAGAAUGCCUUCCUAACAGGAGCACAUUUCUCUAGCCAAGAGGACUCAAGAAAUUGAAUUCUACUGCUAGACCCUCCAAAUAAGCUCUCAAAUAAACUUCCUUGCGAGGCAUAAUUUUUACCUGAAUAUGAUACUUGGAUUGAUAGAUCGUUUGCUGU